GGCAGGCCUAACACAUGCAAGCNGAGCGGCAGCGGGAAGAUAGCUUGCUAUCUUUGCCGGCGAGCGGCGGACGGGUGAGUAAUGCCUAGGGAUCUGCCCAGUCGAGGGGGAUAACAGUUGGAAACGACUGCUAAUACCGCAUACGCCCUACGGGGGAAAGGAGGGGACCUUCGGGCCUUCCGCGAUUGGAUGAACCUAGGUGGGAUUAGCUAGUUGGUGAGGUAAUGGCUCACCAAGGCGACGAUCCCUAGCUGUUCUGAGAGGAUGAUCAGCCACACUGGGACUGAGACACGGCCCAGACUCCUACGGGAGGCAGCAGUGGGGAAUAUUGCACAAUGGGGGAAACCCUGAUGCAGCCAUGCCGCGUGUGUGAAGAAGGCCUUCGGGUUGCAAAGCACUUUCAGUAGGGANGAAAGGUAGCAGCUUAAUACGCUGUUGCUGUGACGUUACCUACAGAAGAAGGACCGGCUAACUCCGUGCCAGCAGCCGCGGUAAUAC
This 498-nucleotide ribosomal RNA is filed under the name uncultured marine bacterium. RNAcentral describes it as "bacterial SSU rRNA". It matches the Rfam family "Bacterial small subunit ribosomal RNA", at positions 41 to 526 of the family's 1533-position model. The record is from RNAcentral.